AUGAACGCUGGCGGCGUGCCUAAUCCAUGCCAGUCGCGCGAACAGACGAGGAGCUUGCUCCUCUGACGUUAGCGGCGGACGGGUGAGUAACACGUGGAUAACCUACCUAUAAGACUGGGAUAACUUCGGGAAACCGGAGCUAAUACCGGAUAAUAUAUUGAACCGCAUGGUUCAAUAGUGAAAGACGGUUUUGCUGUCACUUAUAGAUGGAUCCGCGCCGCAUUAGCUAGUUGGUAAGGUAACGGCUUACCAAGGCAACGAUGCGUAGCCGAUCUGAGAGGGUGAUCGGCCACACUGGAACUGAGACACGGUCCAGACUCCUACGGGAGGCAGCAGUAGGGAAUCUUCCGCAAUGGGCGAAAGCCUGACGGAGCAACGCCGCGUGAGUGAUGAAGGUCUUCGGAUCGUAAAACUCUGUUAUUAGGGAAGAACAAAUGUGUAAGUAACUAUGCACGUCUUGACGGUACCUAAUCAGAAAGCCACGGCUAACUACGUG
Molecule: ribosomal RNA, 496 nt
Filed under: uncultured bacterium
Lineage: Bacteria
Description: partial 16S ribosomal RNA
Rfam family: Bacterial small subunit ribosomal RNA
Source: RNAcentral